This is a long non-coding RNA of Drosophila subobscura, 479 nucleotides long. RefSeq lists it as uncharacterized. Lineage: Eukaryota; Metazoa; Arthropoda; Insecta; Diptera; Drosophilidae. The transcript is spliced from 3 exons. The record is from RefSeq and is a predicted model, not a curated record.
CUUGGGGUGUGUGUGUACAUCAGGGCUCGGCACCCAUACAGUGCAGUACGCUUGUGUGUGUAGCUAAAACACGAAGAUGCCUACGCCGAAACCGGUUUCUUGCUUUACACUGGGCGAAACAAGCUGCAAUUAUUUCGUGUUGAAACUUUCAAGAGAAACACAAAUUUUAAGCAAAACAAUAAAAAUUUUAAAGAAUAUAUGACAAAAAUGAAUACAAUUAUUAAACACAACUGCACGUAACAUAAUCGCGUAUUAUGCAUUGCGCAUUGUCAUCUAUAAUUUGGAAAAAUAAAAAGUUUUGUUGUUACUUCUCAUUGAGCAUGUUUUCUUACAGUGUGGCAUUCAAUAGUUGCGUAGCGUGAUCUUGCUUUGUCGACGGCUGAUCAGCAACUGAUGCCAUUUUCGUUCUGUAUCUGGUGUGAAAACGAGACAAAAAGUGCCGAAGUCGCAUUGCCGAAGCCAUACGAAGCUCUGCUGCU